Molecule: ribosomal RNA, 2624 nt
Filed under: Staphylococcus aureus M0538
Lineage: Bacteria; Bacillati; Bacillota; Bacilli; Caryophanales; Staphylococcaceae
Description: bacterial LSU rRNA
Rfam family: Bacterial large subunit ribosomal RNA
Source: RNAcentral
GUAGGACACUCUGUACGGAGUUACAAAGGACGACAUUAGACGAAUCAUCUGGAAAGAUGAAUCAAAGAAGGUAAUAAUCCUGUAGUCGAAAAUGUUGUCUCUCUUGAGUGGAUCCUGAGUACGACGGAGCACGUGAAAUUCCGUCGGAAUCUGGGAGGACCAUCUCCUAAGGCUAAAUACUCUCUAGUGACCGAUAGUGAACCAGUACCGUGAGGGAAAGGUGAAAAGCACCCCGGAAGGAGAGUGAAAUAGAACCUGAAACCGUGUGCUUACAAGUAGUCAGAGCCCGUUAAUGGGUGAUGGCGUGCCUUUUGUAGAAUGAACCGGCGAGUUACGAUUUGAUGCAAGGUUAAGCAGUAAAUGUGGAGCCGUAGCGAAAGCGAGUCUGAAUAGGGCGUUUAGUAUUUGGUCGUAGACCCGAAACCAGGUGAUCUACCCUUGGUCAGGUUGAAGUUCAGGUAACACUGAAUGGAGGACCGAACCGACUUACGUUGAAAAGUGAGCGGAUGAACUGAGGGUAGCGGAGAAAUUCCAAUCGAACCUGGAGAUAGCUGGUUCUCUCCGAAAUAGCUUUAGGGCUAGCCUCAAGUGAUGAUUAUUGGAGGUAGAGCACUGUUUGGACGAGGGGCCCCUCUCGGGUUACCGAAUUCAGACAAACUCCGAAUGCCAAUUAAUUUAACUUGGGAGUCAGAACAUGGGUGAUAAGGUCCGUGUUCGAAAGGGAAACAGCCCAGACCACCAGCUAAGGUCCCAAAAUAUAUGUUAAGUGGAAAAGGAUGUGGCGUUGCCCAGACAACUAGGAUGUUGGCUUAGAAGCAGCCAUCAUUUAAAGAGUGCGUAAUAGCUCACUAGUCGAGUGACACUGCGCCGAAAAUGUACCGGGGCUAAACAUAUUACCGAAGCUGUGGAUUGUCCUUUGGACAAUGGUAGGAGAGCGUUCUAAGGGCGUUGAAGCAUGAUCGUAAGGACAUGUGGAGCGCUUAGAAGUGAGAAUGCCGGUGUGAGUAGCGAAAGACGGGUGAGAAUCCCGUCCACCGAUUGACUAAGGUUUCCAGAGGAAGGCUCGUCCGCUCUGGGUUAGUCGGGUCCUAAGCUGAGGCCGACAGGCGUAGGCGAUGGAUAACAGGUUGAUAUUCCUGUACCACCUAUAAUCGUUUUAAUCGAUGGGGGGACGCAGUAGGAUAGGCGAAGCGUGCGAUUGGAUUGCACGUCUAAGCAGUAAGGCUGAGUAUUAGGCAAAUCCGGUACUCGUUAAGGCUGAGCUGUGAUGGGGAGAAGACAUUGAGUCUUCGAGUCGUUGAUUUCACACUGCCGAGAAAAGCCUCUAGAUAGAAAAUAGGUGCCCGUACCGCAAACCGACACAGGUAGUCAAGAUGAGAAUUCUAAGGUGAGCGAGCGAACUCUCGUUAAGGAACUCGGCAAAAUGACCCCGUAACUUCGGGAGAAGGGGUGCUCUUUAGGGUUAACGCCCAGAAGAGCCGCAGUGAAUAGGCCCAAGCGACUGUUUAUCAAAAACACAGGUCUCUGCUAAACCGUAAGGUGAUGUAUAGGGGCUGACGCCUGCCCGGUGCUGGAAGGUUAAGAGGAGUGGUUAGCUUCUGCGAAGCUACGAAUCGAAGCCCCAGUAAACGGCGGCCGUAACUAUAACGGUCCUAAGGUAGCGAAAUUCCUUGUCGGGUAAGUUCCGACCCGCACGAAAGGCGUAACGAUUUGGGCACUGUCUCAACGAGAGACUCGGUGAAAUCAUAGUACCUGUGAAGAUGCAGGUUACCCGCGACAGGACGGAAAGACCCCGUGGAGCUUUACUGUAGCCUGAUAUUGAAAUUCGGCACAGCUUGUACAGGAUAGGUAGGAGCCUUUGAAACGUGAGCGCUAGCUUACGUGGAGGCGCUGGUGGGAUACUACCCUAGCUGUGUUGGCUUUCUAACCCGCACCACUUAUCGUGGUGGGAGACAGUGUCAGGCGGGCAGUUUGACUGGGGCGGUCGCCUCCUAAAAGGUAACGGAGGCGCUCAAAGGUUCCCUCAGAAUGGUUGGAAAUCAUUCAUAGAGUGUAAAGGCAUAAGGGAGCUUGACUGCGAGACCUACAAGUCGAGCAGGGUCGAAAGACGGACUUAGUGAUCCGGUGGUUCCGCAUGGAAGGGCCAUCGCUCAACGGAUAAAAGCUACCCCGGGGAUAACAGGCUUAUCUCCCCCAAGAGUUCACAUCGACGGGGAGGUUUGGCACCUCGAUGUCGGCUCAUCGCAUCCUGGGGCUGUAGUCGGUCCCAAGGGUUGGGCUGUUCGCCCAUUAAAGCGGUACGCGAGCUGGGUUCAGAACGUCGUGAGACAGUUCGGUCCCUAUCCGUCGUGGGCGUAGGAAAUUUGAGAGGAGCUGUCCUUAGUACGAGAGGACCGGGAUGGACAUACCUCUGGUGUACCAGUUGUCGUGCCAACGGCAUAGCUGGGUAGCUAUGUGUGGACGGGAUAAGUGCUGAAAGCAUCUAAGCAUGAAGCCCCCCUCAAGAUGAGAUUUCCCAACUUCGGUUAUAAGAUCCCUCAAAGAUGAUGAGGUUAAUAGGUUCGAGGUGGAAGCAUGGUGACAUGUGGAGCUGACGAAUACUAAUCGAUCGAAGACUUAAUCAA